UACGGGGGGUCUAAGCGUUGUUCGGAAUCACUGGGCGUAAAGCGGGUGUAGGUGGCUAUGCAAGUUAGAUGUGAAAGCCCCGGGCUUAACCCGGGAAGUGCAUCUAAAACUACGUAGCUUGAGUGCGGGAGAGAAAGGCAGAAUACCUGGUGUAGUGGUGAAAUACGUAGACAUCAGGUGGAACUCCGGUGGCGAAGGCGGCCUUUUGGCCCAGCACUGACACUCAGACCCGAAAGUGUGGGUAGCAAACAGG
RNAcentral lists this ribosomal RNA (253 nucleotides) under uncultured bacterium. RNAcentral's name for it is "partial 16S ribosomal RNA". It matches the Rfam family "Bacterial small subunit ribosomal RNA", at positions 524 to 776 of the family's 1533-position model. The record is from RNAcentral.